UACGGGGGGGGCCAGCGUUGUUCGGAAUUACUGGGCGUAAAGGGCUCGUAGGCGGCCAACUAAGUCAGACGUGAAAUCCCUCGGCUUAACCGGGGAACUGCAUCUGAUACUGGAUGGCUUGAGUUCGGGAGAGGGAUGUGGAAUUCCAGGUGUAGCGGUGAAAUGCGUAGAUAUCUGGAGGAACACCGGUGGCGAAGGCGGGGCUCUGGGCAACAACUGACGCUGAGGAGCGAAAGCGUGGGGAGCGAACAGG
RNAcentral lists this ribosomal RNA (253 nucleotides) under uncultured bacterium. Its description in RNAcentral is "partial 16S ribosomal RNA". It matches the Rfam family "Bacterial small subunit ribosomal RNA", at positions 524 to 776 of the family's 1533-position model. The record is from RNAcentral.